This 2434-nucleotide long non-coding RNA is filed under the name Panax ginseng (ginseng). RNAcentral describes it as "long non-coding RNA (PGIN_LNC016128)". Lineage: Eukaryota; Viridiplantae; Streptophyta; Magnoliopsida; Apiales; Araliaceae. The record is from RNAcentral.
CCAAUUAACCAUUUUUUAACCUAUAUUUCAUUAAUUAUACUCCCCUCUCUCUCUCUCUCUCCCCCUCCCUCUCAGUAACACCACACCAAACACGCCCACUCCUCCCUCUUCCCUCGAACUGUAUCUCUAUCUCUUCGAUCUCUCUCUCUAUAUCUACGAUCUCAAUCUUCUCUGUUUUCUGAGGUUUUAAGCUCUGAAAGCCCCCGAUCUGCUUCGAUCGUGUCCAGAUCUCUAGUUCUGGUAAGCUUUUCUGCUCAAAUUCGCUCAAUUAUGAUGUUUAGUAAUGUAAUUUGCUUGAAUUUUGCUGCUGUUAAUUUUACAUGCUAAUAGCUUGAUGGGAACUGACCUAAAAUAAUUCACCAAAACCAAUGAGUUGGUCUUGUCAUCAAACCACGACGACUCCGCUCUGUUAGAACAAUUCCCUGCCUUCAUCCCAUUAUCUCCAUCUAAAAAUCAUAUACUCAAAUAGUAAGCGAGCGAGCAAUUAAAAUACUCCGCAUCGAUUUAAAUGAUUUUUAUUUAUUUAUUUAUUACACUGAUUUUCAACCAUGAAGUUCCACUGAUAAGCAAUUCCUUCGGUCUGUUGUCUGAACUUUGGGAUGGCAGUCCUGUUUUGCUGAGAUAAAAGAGUACAUACCGUGGGACAGAAUAAAUUUGCCUAAAGUGGAUUUGGGGUGUGGUGAUUGGUUCGUUAAAAUUGGUUUAGGAAGUAAACACGAUAAGGGAAAUUCCAUUUAGUAUAAACUUUAGCAAUGAAAACUAUGAUAAGAUAUGAACAUAUAAUGUAAUUUCUGAGGUUUGCAGUCGGAAGAGGAAUCUACGAUUCAUUUACCAGUUAGGAAGUUUUUCAUGUAUGUUUUGUGAAUGCUUUAAUAAGGCCAAAUGCUUUGUGUCUGAAAAUUUAAUUUUAAGCUCUUAUGAUCAAUCAAAGGAUACAAUAUUCUCAAGAUUAUUAUCAUAAUUUUAUUAUGAUAAUAGUUAAAACUAUCAAAAAAUAAAUGGUUAUACAUGGCUCUGCGGCCACCACCACCUGCCACUGCCUCCACAAGAGAUCAUAGUUACACGUUUUACUUUUCUGAAUGAAAACUUGAUUGCAGUAAAAAAUGGCAUGUUGAGGAAUAAGAAUUUUAGGACUGCACCAGGAGCGAGCCCUCCAUGAGGAUUGAGGAGGGUAUGCUUCUGUUGUUCCCCCUCCCCCCCCUAACAUGCCUGCUUAAUUGGUUACUGGGGCAUUGGGUUGGCUUGACUCGUGUGUCAGAGGCACACCACUUUUAACUCCAGUUACAAAAGAAGUGGAAGCAUAAAAACCAACUUCUACUAAUUUUAUCAACGACCUAUUAUUAGCAUUAUAAUUAAAUAGAAAUUCAACAAGCCAUGAGGAGACAUGUAGAAGACAUACAAUGAUUAAUCGAAUACAGUACCAAUUAUAAGAGUUCCACUGUUUUAAUACAGUUUCAGAAAUACUAGUAAAGCACCCAAUGUAAUUAGCUCAUUAUGAGGUUUCUAAAGGGAACUUACAAGCAGAAAGAGAGAAAAGUGGUGUUCCUUUCCACCCAGAAAGUAGGCAUUUUACAUCCAUACUUGGUGUGCAAAAACUCCCAACAGCAGAUUUCUCAAUCACAAGGUUUGCUUGGUAUAGAGAUGACUUACUCAACUCUUUUUCCACAAUAUAAAAACUAUUGAAUAAAGUCCUCCAACCAUCAAUCUUUAUAUCCAAAGCUGCCCUUUCCUCAAUGUCGAAGCCUUCUUUAUACUAUAUUUGAUCUUGUUAUUUUGGUUUAAAGUCCUUUUCCAUCUCUAUCUCUUCAAGGAGAUUCAAUAAUAUACUUGUCAUGUUAUUCAGGUUAUUGCAGUUACUUGUUAUGGAGGUCUGGUUGAUGUUAUUUCACAAUUUAGAAGUCACUUUUGCACAUUUCAGUGUUGAUGCCUAUGAAAGGAGUUGGCUUAGCCCUUUGGAAUUGACUUUGGGAAAAUAUAUGUUUUGUAAUGUUAAAUUUUAAUAUGUCUGUCUAAUUAAUUAAAUUUUAAUAUGUCUGUCUAAUUAAUUAAAUUUUAAUAUGGUCUAUAGAAUUAUAUGGUUCAGUUUUCUAUUUAUCUUAUAUGUUCUAUAAAUUAAUAUGUUCUUAUUUUGGGUGACUAAUGUUAUUCUGUAUGUGUCAGUUUAUGUAAAUUCUAGUAUUCAAGUUACAAAAGAAUUAUAAAUAUGUUUCAAUAUUUAAACGACAUUCAUAGAAUUAAUUAUACUAUGAUGUAUUUUGGAUUCCAACCUUUCUAUUAGCAGGUUGAUAAUAAUUGUUUCCGUCUCUUGCCUACCUACUAAAAGUAAUGAUUUUGGCUCAUUUGCAACUUAUAUACCAACACAAAAUUGAUUAAUUCAACAAUGAUUAGCGAUAAUUUUAUUAAAAUAAACGUAGCCAAAUUAAUAAUAAUUAUG